This 625-nucleotide long non-coding RNA is filed under the name Helianthus annuus (common sunflower). RNAcentral describes it as "hypothetical non coding rna". The record is from RNAcentral. Lineage: Eukaryota; Viridiplantae; Streptophyta; Magnoliopsida; Asterales; Asteraceae.
UUCUCAGUAGGGCUUUUUUAAGAGUCAGAUUGAAGUUGCUGUGAAAGAAGAGGAAGAGAAUGAGAUUGAGAGUGGAAACCCUAAUUUACCGGUGUCGAGUGAGGCCUAAGAAGAUAUGAAAUGGUCGCCAUGGUUGAUACCAAUGCUUGGAUUGUAUGAAUCACACCAUCUGCUCUCUCUGUCUCAAUCAUCACAAGGACCACCGAAACAUGUUGAAUUUGACCACCGGAAAUAAAAGAAAACUUCCCUGCUUGGAAUGCAAAUAAGUUGAAGAAGAAGCUAAGACAAGAAUAAAUUUGCAAAGAGCACUGGAAAGAGCUUUCAUUAUACAACUUCACCUCAUCUUCCUACACAGGUUUCCACUUUAUUCGACAACCUUGAAACGAAGUACAAAGUUAAUGAGCGCGUUAAAAGCUAAAGUUUUGAAGAUUGAUGAAGAAAGACGAAGUUCAUGUAGUUUUCAGCCAAUGUAAAAUCUGAGUAUCUAAAUGCAUUGACAAAAUUGCUCAUAAUUUACAAGAAUCAAGAUUUGGGUUCUCAUAUGUGAUAAAAUGGAAAAAAAGCAACUAAAAUAUGGGAAUAUCAGCAGGAGGGACUACAAAGAUUGUGGUGAACGGGUCAACCG